RNAcentral lists this ribosomal RNA (442 nucleotides) under Rhysida sp. CES091397. Its description in RNAcentral is "partial 16S ribosomal RNA". It matches the Rfam family "Bacterial large subunit ribosomal RNA", at positions 1928 to 2600 of the family's 2925-position model. The record is from RNAcentral. Lineage: Eukaryota; Metazoa; Arthropoda; Chilopoda; Scolopendromorpha; Scolopendridae.
UGGCCGCGGUAUUUUGACCGUGCGAAGGUAGCAUAAUAAUUAGUCUAUUAAAUAUGGUCUGGAAUGAAAGGUUUGACAAGGAGCAACUUUCUUAACUUUAUUUUUGAAUUUUAAUUAUUAGUAAAAAUGCUAAUGUUAAUCAGGAGGACAAGAAGACCCUAUUGAGCUUUAUAUUUAUUUGUAGAUGAUGGUAUAUUUACACAAAUAUAAUAUUUUGUUGGGGCGACAGCAGAUACUAAACAUCUGUGCGAUUUUUCUUUAAUUUUAGGUUUUUUGAUCCAUUAUUAAUGAUAAAAGACUAAGUUACCUUAGGGAUAACAGCGUAAUUUUAUUUUAGAGUUCAUAUCGACAAUAAAGAUUGCGACCUCGAUGUUGGAUUAGAAUUCCCUUAUUAGGCGCAGGAGUUUAUAAGGGUAGUCUGUUCGACUAUUAAAUUUCUACA